Long non-coding RNA from Canis lupus familiaris (dog), 1280 nucleotides. RefSeq lists it as uncharacterized. The record is from RefSeq and is a predicted model, not a curated record. The transcript is spliced from 3 exons. NCBI's taxonomy places the organism in Eukaryota, Metazoa, Chordata, Mammalia, Carnivora, Canidae.
UUCCUGGGUCAGACCAAGAAAGCAGCACUCAGCUGAGUGGCAACUGGCCAAGACCUGUUCACGCUGGGCAUGUCACCCCAAACGUGAGGUAUGAAACACAAAAUGGGAGGGCUCUGCAUCUUGUCUAUCCUUACAGCCAGGAAAUGAAAGCAUAGAAGAGUGGGAGAAAACAGAGCUGCACACAGAAAUAUUCCCACAGGCGUAAAAGAAGGGUAGUUGCUGAGUGGGGAGAAGUACUAGCUUCCUCAGGAGUCAUCCUUCAUGGUGGAUACCAUCCCUGCCAGGCACCCGUCUUCCAGGUGACCUGGUCCCAGAGCCCAGGAAAUACAAGUGUGGGAUGAGCCAUGGAAAAGAGACUCCCAUGGAGGAGCAAAAGAAGCACCAACGAAUGUUGAGUACCAGGAAGCAAAUGCUCCCUCACCUGCUGCUAACAGGAACAGCUGGGUGUGCAGGACUGUCAUCAGCCCCUGGAACACUACACAAGACUGACACGUUAUCUCUACCCUCAACAGGUUUAUCUUUGAGAGAGGCAACCAGACCGAUAAGGGUAUAGCCGUUGUAAACUGUAUACAACCUGGAUUCUCUGUCCUGCUUUGUGCCUGAAGCCCGCCACUAAGUUUUCUGGGCUUCGGUUUCCUCAUCUGUAAACGGAGACCCCUCACAGCUCAGAAGUUGUAAUGUACUUUCAGAUACAACUGGUGAGGAGCAAAGCUACAGACCAUCCUUUUCUCUUGGCUCAUGUGAGGGCUAGGCCUCCGUGGUGAUUUCUCCAAAGACCACAAAUGGCCAGGAUCUUCCAUCUCCCAUCUCUUGACCUGUCUCAGUUUGAUCACCUGGUCAGCCACAACUGUCACAUUAUUCUUCAGGACCUCAGUGCUCCAGUGACCUCAUCCUGCCAUCAUCAUCCCCAUGGAGGUGCAGGGUCCCUGCCCACUGCCCACCUUUCCAUCUGCCCCACAUGGCAAGGUCACCAGGGUGAACUGUGAAGGCCAUGGUUUCCAAGUCUCAUGGUAACACAGGUAGCUCCCAUUCGGAUGCCAAUGGUGCUUGGUCAAAAACCUGCUUACGGCUGGAUUCAAAUACAUGUCUACACAGAGCUACCAGUCCAGGGCAGAAGGUGAGAGGAGGAGCAAGGAAGGAAGGAGAGAAAUGCAAGAUAAGUACUGCCAUAAAAGUUUCUAGGGGAGAUCUCAGUCUGAGAGAUCUCACUUUAAAAAAAAAAAAAAAAUUGGGUGCCUGGGUGGCUGAUGGUUGCAUCUGCCUUUGGCUCAGAUCAUGGC